CCCUCUGGAUCAGUGGCGAACGGGUGAGUAACACGUGAGUAACCUGCCCUUGACUCUGGGAUAAGCGUUGGAAACGACGUCUAAUACCGGAUACGACCUUUGGAGGCAUCUCCUGAAGGUGGAAAGAAUUUCGGUCAAGGAUGGACUCGCGGCCUAUCAGGUAGUUGGUGAGGUAACGGCUCACCAAGCCGACGACGGGUAGCCGGCCUGAGAGGGUGACCGGCCACACUGGGACUGAGACACGGCCCAGACUCCUACGGGAGGCAGCAGUGGGGAAUAUUGCACAAUGGGCGAAAGCCUGAUGCAGCAACGCCGCGUGAGGGACGACGGCCUUCGGGUUGUAAACCUCUUUUAGUAGGGAAGAAGCGAAAGUGACGGUACCUGCAGAAAAAGCACCGGCUAACUACGUGCCAGCAGCCGCGGUAAUACGUAGGGUGCAAGCGUUGUCCGGAAUUAUUGGGCGUAAAGAGCUCGUAGGCGGUUUGUCGCGUCUGCUGUGAAAACUGGAGGCUCAACCUCCAGCCUGCAGUGGGUACGGGCAGACUAGAGUGCGGUAGGGGAGAUUGGAAUUCCUGGUGUAGCGGUGGAAUGCGCAGAUAUCAGGAGGAACACCGAUGGCGAAGGCAGAUCUCUGGGCCGUAACUGACGCUGAGGAGCGAAAGCAUGGGGAGCGAACAGGAUUAGAUACCCUGGUAGUCCAUGCCGUAAACGUUGGGAACUAGAUGUGGGGGCCAUUCCACGGCUUCCGUGUCGCAGCUAACGCAUUAAGUUCCCCGCCUGGGGAGUACGGCCGCAAGGCUAAAACUCAAAGGAAUUGACGGGGGCCCGCACAAGCGGCGGAGCAUGCGGAUUAAUUCGAUGCAACGCGAAGAACCUUACCAAGGCUUGACAUAUACCGGAAAGCUGCAGAAAUGUAGCCCCCGCAAGGUCGGUAUACAGGUGGUGCAUGGUUGUCGUCAGCUCGUGUCGUGAGAUGUUGGGUUAAGUCCCGCAACGAGCGCAACCCUCGUUCUAUGUUGCCAGCACGUAAUGGUGGGAACUCAUAGGAGACUGCCGGGGUCAACUCGGAGGAAGGUGGGGAUGACGUCAAAUCAUCAUGCCCCUUAUGUCUUGGGCUUCACGCAUGCUACAAUGGCCGGUACAAAGGGCUGCAAUACCGUAAGGUGGAGCGAAUCCCAAAAAGCCGGUCUCAGUUCGGAUUGAGGUCUGCAACUCGACCUCAUGAAGUCGGAGUCGCUAGUAAUCGCAGAUCAGCAACGCUGCGGU
RNAcentral lists this ribosomal RNA (1266 nucleotides) under Cryocola sp. KAR37. Its description in RNAcentral is "bacterial SSU rRNA". It matches the Rfam family "Bacterial small subunit ribosomal RNA", at positions 83 to 1363 of the family's 1533-position model. Lineage: Bacteria; Bacillati; Actinomycetota; Actinomycetes; Micrococcales; Microbacteriaceae. The record is from RNAcentral.